RNAcentral lists this ribosomal RNA (253 nucleotides) under uncultured bacterium. RNAcentral describes it as "partial 16S ribosomal RNA". It matches the Rfam family "Bacterial small subunit ribosomal RNA", at positions 524 to 776 of the family's 1533-position model. The record is from RNAcentral.
UACGUAGGGUGCAAGCGUUAUCCGGAAUCAUUGGGCGUAAAGAGCUCGUAGGCGGUUUGUCGCGUCUGCUGUGAAAGUCCGGGGCUCAACUCCGGAUCUGCGGUGGGUACGGGCAGGCUAGAGUGAUGUAGGGGAGACUGGAAUUCCUGGUGUAGCGGUGAAAUGCGCAGAUAUCAGGAGGAACACCGAUGGCGAAGGCAGAUCUCUGGGCAAUAACUGACGCUGAGGAGCGAAAGCGUGGGGAGCGAACAGG